RNAcentral lists this long non-coding RNA (1761 nucleotides) under Cicer arietinum (chickpea). Its description in RNAcentral is "long non-coding RNA (CARI_LNC003115)". Lineage: Eukaryota; Viridiplantae; Streptophyta; Magnoliopsida; Fabales; Fabaceae. The record is from RNAcentral.
CAUGGGCCAUCACCAGCUUCAUGUGAGUAUGCUUAACGAUUGGUAAUAAUUAUUUGCAAUUCUUCAUGAACCAACAAGUUAAUCCUAAAUUAGAGACAACGUGUUACUAUUCUUCAUAUAUCCUGAUAUUUAGUUUUGUUGAGUUUACUUGUAGUUUAUUAAGUAAUUAGACAUGGUUAACAUGAUGAGAUUCAUCUUUAAAGUAAAGUUGGAAAGGAGGAAACUUCACAUUUGUAUUGGUCCAAAUUCUUACCUUCUUCACAUGCGGCCAAAAAGGGAUUAUUUCAUGAGCACUCUGAUAGGAGCUGAUAUCUUAUUAGAAAUGAAAAGGAAAAAUACUCUUGGUUACAAUACUGGACCUCCCAAUACAGAAGGCUCCAAUUCUCACAAAAUGACCAGAUGAUCCUCUCUCUCAAUUCCCUUUUUUCUUUUGGGAAAUGCUAGCAAGUGCCCUGUUAAGAACUAAAAAUAGUAAUUUUAUAAUGAAAAUGUAUUGGAAAUUGUGUUUUCAAAUUUUUAAAAGCUAACUGUCUUUUUCAAUGCAAAAUUUCUAAAAUUGGUUUCUUUCUUAAUAAGUUCACUUGUUAGCACGACCCUUUUCUUUUUAGGCAACACACCUUAUUGCUUCUAAUUAUCUACCAUAUCAAACCACAAAUUAACUAAUUACUAUGGAUGGGUUAGUAACUGUUAUACACUCUGCUACUUCAUAUUUAUGUUUUUUUUCUCAUGAUUUUGCUUUCCUCCGGUCAACAUGUUAUUGGAAGCUGCCAAUACUUUAGUAUUAACUAAGUUUCCAUUCCAACUAUUAAGUUAUAAUCUUUCCGCUCAUAUGUUCUUCCCAUGUUUAGUUAUACCAUUCUUGAUUUCCAGAGCUUUUGGAAGUUUGAACUAGUGGAUAACAUUGUAUUUGAAUAUUAACUAACUAUACAUGCAACCCUGCUUAAUGAACAGAAUGAUUGUUUAAGUCUUGAGAGCAUCUGAUAACUCAUUGUAUGUAGAUAAUAUGACCAUGCAAUAUUGUUUUAUUUAGACUAAUAGUAUUAUCCUGUUUUUGCAGCUUCCGCAGGCUGUCUUGAGACUGAUAAACGGACAUCUUUACUGUUUGUAGCACUUGUAUUAUUAUUACUACAUGCAUAAACAAUUCCUGACCUGUAUCAUUCGACCAGAGACAGACUAGAGAGGGUACUAUAAAUGUGACCUACGCAAAGAAAGGGCUAGCUCACAUCUGAGUAGGUAUAAGCUGUCAUUACGUGUGUAAAUAGUUGAUUGAAAAUAUCCAGAUGGAAUGUACCCCCUAAAAAAGAAAGAAAAAGAAGUGCAUGUGUUUUCAGGUCAAAGUCUACAAGUGACAGGCCUUGAUUACAUGCAAUAGUGUUGUUUUGUGAAGACGUAGGAUCCAAAAGGAAAAUGAAAAGAGAAGAAUCAAUUUCCUUUUCAGUCCUCGCUUAAAUUCAUGUAUGCUUGACUAUGCCUGAUAAAGAAUUUGGCAAAGUUGGACCAGAAAUUUUCAUCCAAUGAUAACAAUGGAUCACAUUUAUGUUUUCAUGUAAAUGCAGCUAGCAUCCCCGGUGGUUUCAGAUGUAUUUUCCUCCCACAGCAGCAUACACUACGAAAUAUAGAAAAUGGCGCCUUCAUUUCCUUUUCUUUUUUAUUACUCUCUCUGGAUCUAAUAAUUAUAAAAGAAUAUUCGGAUAAUUUUUGUUCUAUACCCCUUAUCACUAUUAUAAUAAUAAAAAAAUUAUUUUUAUCCUUAUUAAAAAA